GACGAACGCUGGCGGCGUGCUUAACACAUGCAAGUCGAACGGAAAGACCCUGCUUUUGUGGGGUGCUCGAGUGGCGAACGGGUGAGUAACACGUGAGUAACCUGCCCUUGACUUUGGGAUAACUUCAGGAAACUGGGGCUAAUACCGGAUAGGAGCUCCUACUGCAUGGUGGGGGUUGGAAAGUUUCGGCGGUUGGGGAUGGACUCGCGGCUUAUCAGCUUGUUGGUGGGGUAGUGGCUUACCAAGGCUUUGACGGGUAGCCGGCCGGAGAGGGUGACCGGCCACAUUGGGACUGAGAUACGGCCCAGACUCCUACGGGAGGCAGCAGUGGGGAAUAUUGAACAAUGGGCGGAAGCCUGAUGCAGCAACGCCGCGGGCGGGAUGACGGCCUUCGGGUUGUAAACCGCUUUCGCCUGUGACGAAGCGUGAGUGACGGUAAUGGGUAAAGAAGCACCGGCUAACUACGUG
This 468-nucleotide ribosomal RNA is filed under the name uncultured bacterium. Its description in RNAcentral is "partial 16S ribosomal RNA". It matches the Rfam family "Bacterial small subunit ribosomal RNA", at positions 28 to 507 of the family's 1533-position model. The record is from RNAcentral.